GCAUAUCAAUAAGCGGAGGAAAAGAAAAUAACAAUGAUUCCCCUAGUAACUGCGAGUGAAGAGGGACAAGCUCAAAUUUUAAAUCUAUCGGGUUUUACCUGAUCGAGUUGUAAUUUGAAGAAGCGUUUUCUGCGUAUUUGGUCAGCCUAAGUCCUAUUGAAUGAGGCAUCAUGGAGGGUGAUAAUCCCGUCCGGUUGAUCAUUUGCGUUUUACGAUACGCUUUCUAAGAGUCAAGUUGUUUGGGAUUGCAGCUUAAAAUGGGAGGUAAAUUUCUCCUAAGGCUAAAUAACGGCGAGAGACCGAUAGCGAACAAGUACCGUGAGGGAAAGAUGAAAAGAACUUUGAAAAGAGAGUUAAACAGUACGUGAAAUUGUUGAAAGGGAAACGAUUGAAGCCAGUCGUACCUUCGGGUAAUCAGCCUUUCGGGUGCGAUUCUGUGGAGUGUGAGGAGCUUAAACACCUUCAUGUUUUGCAUAUUCGUACUCUUGGGUGUACUUGCCCGUGUGGUUGGUUAACAUCAAUUUUGGUGGUCAUAAAAUGACUGGGGGAAUGUAGCUUCGAUCUUGUAUUGAAGUGUUAUAGCCUUCGGUAGAUGUGAUGAUCGAGAUUGAGGAUUGCAACGGAUACCUUUCGGGGCUACCUGUCUGAUCUCUGAUCGUUGCUUUGGUGCUGAAAGCGUGCUUAUAGUUAUCAAAGUCGAUGGUUAAUAGGUUAGAACGGGUUAAAUUCGUUAAGGAUGUUGACGUAAUGGCUUUAAACGAC
RNAcentral lists this ribosomal RNA (762 nucleotides) under Rhizophagus intraradices. RNAcentral describes it as "eukaryotic LSU rRNA". It matches the Rfam family "Eukaryotic large subunit ribosomal RNA", at positions 38 to 648 of the family's 3401-position model. The record is from RNAcentral. Lineage: Eukaryota; Fungi; Glomeromycota; Glomeromycetes; Glomerales; Glomeraceae.